CUGAGGGCUGAGAGGUGGGAAUGGAGUUAGCUGGGGCUGAGGGCAGGAGGUGGGAAUGGAGUUAGCUGGGGCUGAGAGGUGGGAAUGGAGUUAGCUGGGGCUGAGGGCUGAGAGGUGGGAAUGGAGUUAGCUGGGGCUGAGAGGUGGGAAUGGGGUUAGCUGGGGCUGAGGGCUGGAGGUGGGAAUGGGGUUAGCUGGGGCUGAGGGCUGGAGGUGGGAAUGGAGUUACCUGGGGCUGAGGGCUGGAGGUGGGAAUGGGGUUAGCUGGGGCUGAGGGCUGGAGGUGGGAAUGGAGUUAGCUGGGGCUGAGGGCUGAGAGGUGGGAAUGGGGUUAGCUGGGGCUGAGGGCUGAGAGGUGGGAAUGGAGUUCGCUGGGGCUGAUGGCUGAGAGGUGGGAAUGGGGUUAGCUGGGGCUGAGGGCUGGAGGUGGGAAUGGGGUUAGCUGGGGCUGAGGGCUGGAGGUGGGAAUGGGGUUAGCUGGGGCUGAGGGCUGGAG
Oncorhynchus tshawytscha (Chinook salmon) is the source of this 496-nucleotide long non-coding RNA. The record is from Ensembl. NCBI's taxonomy places the organism in Eukaryota, Metazoa, Chordata, Actinopteri, Salmoniformes, Salmonidae.